UAACACCCUAAAAUUUUGCUCCUUUUUAAAUAGAUGAAAUUUAAUUUAAUUUUGUAUUUUUGUGCUCAUAAAAUAUAGGGAAAUAAUAUUUUGCAUUAAAAUAAAACUUAUCAUAGAAUCUAGCAACAUGGAUGUGCAUACAUGCUGGAGCAUUUAUACUUUUGUACUGUGUGAGUUUGGGCAAAGUCAAAAUAUUUUCAAAUUGAUUUGAAAACAGCUUUGAAAUAAAAAGGAACAAAAAGAAAAAAACGAAAAGAAAAGAGAACUUACCUGCUCUCGGCCUAGACCUAUGGCCGAGGCCCAGCUCCUUCCCAGCCCCGCAGCCAGCUUCCUAGUCCCGGCCCAGCUCGCAGCCCAGCAGCAGGCCUGGCCGCGCGCGCCCUCUCCCCCUUGCGCCCGGCCCAGUACGCCCCUAGGCAGCCCAGCUGGACCAGCCCCGCGCCACCCCCUUCUCCAUCUCUCUGUCACCCGGUCCCCGCGCCUUGAUUCGUUGACAUCUGGGGCCCACACGUCGGUGACUUACCUUUCUUUUUCCUCGGGUCGUGGCCGAGUCGGUCUCUCCCUCUCUCGGUGGAAACCAAAUCCCGCAUAGGACGGGAUUGUUUGCAUUAGGAGAUCUUCUCCAAGAUCAUUUAAGCCUCGUGCCCUC
This 649-nucleotide long non-coding RNA is filed under the name Sorghum bicolor (sorghum). Its description in RNAcentral is "long non-coding RNA (SBIC_LNC004256)". The record is from RNAcentral. Lineage: Eukaryota; Viridiplantae; Streptophyta; Magnoliopsida; Poales; Poaceae.